This 69-nucleotide antisense RNA is filed under the name Streptomyces oceani. RNAcentral describes it as "Streptomyces sp. SCSIO 02100 ASpks TB sRNA". It matches the Rfam family "ASpks TB sRNA". The record is from Rfam by way of RNAcentral. Lineage: Bacteria; Bacillati; Actinomycetota; Actinomycetes; Kitasatosporales; Streptomycetaceae.
CUUCACCGAGCCCAGCCACAACGGUUCGGCGCGCCGCUGCCCGUAGGUCGCGAGCAGCGCCUGCGCCUC